ACGGUACUUAACGAGGAAGCCCCGGCUAACUACGUGCCAGCAGCCGCGGUAAUACGUAGGGGGCAAGCGUUGUCCGGAAUUAUUGGGCGUAAAGCGCGCGCAGGCGGUUCUUUAAGUCUGAUGUGAAAUCCCACGGCUCAACCGUGGAGGUGCAUUGGAAACUGGGGAACUUGAGGACAGAAGAGGAGAGUGGAAUUCCACGUGUAGCGGUGAAAUGCGUAGAUAUGUGGAGGAACACCAGUGGCGAAGGCGACUCUCUGGUCUGUCUCUGACGCUGAGGUGCGAAAGCGUGGGUAGCAAACAGGAUUAGAUACCCUGGUAGUCCACGCUGUAAACGAUGAGUGCUAGGUGUUAGGGGGCUUCCACCCCUUAGUGCUGAAGUUAACGCAUUAAGCACUCCGCCUGGGGAGUACGGCCGCAAGGCUGAAACUCAAAGGAAUUGACGGGGGCCCGCACAAGCGGUGGAGCAUGUGGUUUAAUUCG
RNAcentral lists this ribosomal RNA (483 nucleotides) under Salimicrobium sp. GAY-9. RNAcentral describes it as "bacterial SSU rRNA". It matches the Rfam family "Bacterial small subunit ribosomal RNA", at positions 472 to 953 of the family's 1533-position model. Lineage: Bacteria; Bacillati; Bacillota; Bacilli; Caryophanales; Bacillaceae. The record is from RNAcentral.